This 507-nucleotide ribosomal RNA is filed under the name uncultured bacterium. RNAcentral describes it as "partial 16S ribosomal RNA". It matches the Rfam family "Bacterial small subunit ribosomal RNA", at positions 28 to 523 of the family's 1533-position model. The record is from RNAcentral.
GAUGAACGCUAGCUACAGGCUUAACACAUGCAAGUCGAGGGGAAACGACAUCGAAAGCUUGCUUUUGAUGGGCGUCGACCGGCGCACGGGUGAGUAACGCGUAUCCAACCUGCCCACCACUUGGGGAUAACCUUGCGAAAGUAAGACUAAUACCCAAUGAUAUCUCUAGAAGACAUCUGAAAGAGAUUAAAGAUUUAUCGGUGAUGGAUGGGGAUGCGUCUGAUUAGCUUGUUGGCGGGGUAACGGCCCACCAAGGCUACGAUCAGUAGGGGUUCUGAGAGGAAGGUCCCCCACAUUGGAACUGAGACACGGUCCAAACUCCUACGGGAGGCAGCAGUGAGGAAUAUUGGUCAAUGGACGGGAGUCUGAACCAGCCAAGUAGCGUGCAGGAUGACGGCCCUAUGGGUUGUAAACUGCUUUAUAAGGGAAUAAAGUGAGUCUCGUGAGACUUUUUGCAUGUACCUUAUGAAUAAGGACCGGCUAAUCCCGUGCCAGCCGCCGCAGUAA